AAUCAAGCGCGAAAAGGGCGUUUGGUGGAUGCCUUGGCAGCAAGAGGCGAUGAAGGACGUGAUACUCUGCGAUAAGCUAGGGGGAGCCGAGAAUAGGCUUUGAUCCCUGGAUCUCCGAAUGGGGCAACCCACCUGAUAUUCAGUUAUUAUCAGCCGUCAGGUUUUUGAUAAUUGGGUAAACCAGGUACUUCUUACCUGAAUACAUAGGGUUUGAAGAGCAAACCCGGGGAACUGAAACAUCUAAGUACCCGGAGGAAAGGAAAUCAAUGAUACUCCCCUAGUAGCGGCGAGCGAACGGGGACCAGCCGAGCCUUGAGAGUGAUCGGAACAUGCUGGAAAGCAUGGCCAUAGCGGGUGACAGCCCCGUACGAGAAGCUCGAUAGGACGUAUUAAGUAGGGCGGGACACGUGAAAUCCUGUCUGAAGAUCGGAGGACCACCUUCGAAGGCUAAGUACUCCUUGCUGACCGAUAGCGAACCAGUACCGUGAGGGAAAGGUGAAAAGCACCCCGACGAGGGGAGUGAAACAGUACCUGAAACCGAACGCCUACAAUCAGUCGGAGCUCCUUACGGAGUGACGGCGUACCUUUUGUAUAAUGGGUCAUCGACUUGGUCUAUCUAGCAAGCUUAAGCCGAUAGGUGUAGGCGCAGCGAAAGCGAGUCUUAAUAGGGCGUCGAGUUAGAUGGAUCAGACCCGAAACCGAGUGAUCUAGGCAUGACCAGGAUGAAGGUAAGGUAACACUUACUGGAGGUCCGAACCCACACCUGUUGAAAAAGGUCGGGAUGAGUUGUGCCUAGGGGUGAAAGGCCAAUCAAACUCGGAGAUAGCUGGUUCUCCGCGAAAUCUAUUUAGGUAGAGCGUCAUCCGAAUACCCCCGGGGGUAGAGCACUGGAUGGGUAAUGGGGCCCCACAGGCUUACUGAUCCUAACCAAACUCCGAAUACCGGGGAGUACUAGAUGGCAGACACACUGCGGAUGCUAACGUCCGUAGUGGAGAGGGAAACAACCCUGACCUACAGCUAAGGCCCCCAAUUCAUGGCUAAGUGGGAAAGCAGGUGGGACGACCAAAACAACCAGGAGGUUGGCUUAGAAGCAGCCAUCCUUUAAAGAUAGCGUAACAGCUCACUGGUCUAAACAAGUUGUCCUGCGGCGAAGAUGUAACGGGGCUCAAGCCAUGAGCCGAAGCUUAGGAUGCCGUAAGGCAUGGUAGCGGAGCGUAGUGUGAUAUAGCACUUAUCUUUACUAUCGCACAUUGGAGACCGGGCACGUGUAAACGUGCUCAUGUAUCCGAUAGGCGGUAGCACAAGAUAAAGUGCUUUCAGUGAAGCCGGCCUGUGAGGGAUCCGGUGGAGAGAUCACUAGCGAGAAUGAUGACAUGAGUAGCGACAAAGAGUGUGAGAGACACUCUCGCCGAAAGUCCAAGGGUUCCUGCUUAAAGCUAAUCUGAGCAGGGUAAGCCGACCCCUAAGGCGAGGCCGAAAGGCGUAGUCGAUGGGAACCAGGUUAAUAUUCCUGGGCCAGGAGGAUGUGACGGAUUGUGGCGGCGUGCGUGCCUUAUCGGAUUGGCGCGUAUCCAAGACAGUCCCAGGAAAUAGCCCUCCAUGAGAUCGUACCCUAAACCGACACAGGUGGACUGGUAGAGAAUACCAAGGCGCUUGAGAGAACGAUGUUGAAGGAACUCGGCAAAAUACCUCCGUAAGUUCGCGAGAAGGAGGCCCGGUACACGACUACCGGGGGCACAAACCAGGGGGUGGCGACUGUUUAUUAAAAACACAGGGCUCUGCGAAGUCGCAAGACGACGUAUAGGGUCUGACGCCUGCCCGGUGCCUGAAGGUUAAAAGGAGGGGUGCAAGCUCCGAAUUGAAGCCCAGGUAAACGGCGGCCGUAACUAUAACGGUCCUAAGGUAGCGAAAUUCCUUGUCGGGUAAGUUCCGACCUGCACGAAUGGCGUAACGACUUCCCCGCUGUCUCCAACAUCGACUCAGCGAAAUUGAAUUGCCUGUCAAGAUGCAGGCUUCCCGCGGUUAGACGGAAAGACCCCGUGCACCUUCACUACAGCUUCGCACUGGCAUCAGGCACAACAUGUGCAGGAUAGGUGGUAGGCUUUGAAGCAGGGACGCCAGUCCCUGUGGAGCUUCCCUUGAGAUACCACCCUUGUUCUGCUUGAUGUCUAACCGCGGCCCGUUAUCCGGGUCCGGGACCCUGCGUGGUGGGUAGUUUGACUGGGGCGGUCGCCUCCUAAAGCGUAACGGAGGCGCGCGAAGGUUGGCUCAGAGCGGUCGGAAAUCGCUCGUUGAGUGCAAUGGCAGAAGCCAGCCUGACUGCAAGACUGACAAGUCGAGCAGAGUCGAAAGACGGCCAUAGUGAUCCGGUGGUCCCAAGUGGGAGGGCCAUCGCUCAACGGAUAAAAGGUACGCCGGGGAUAACAGGCUGAUACUGCCCAAGAGUCCAUAUCGACGGCAGUGUUUGGCACCUCGAUGUCGGCUCAUCUCAUCCUGGGGCUGGAGCAGGUCCCAAGGGUAUGGCUGUUCGCCAUUUAAAGAGGUACGUGAGCUGGGUUUAGAACGUCGUGAGACAGUUCGGUCCCUAUCUGCCGUGGGUGUAGGAUACUUGAGAGGAGUUGCCCCUAGUACGAGAGGACCGGGGUGAACGAUCCACUGGUGGACCAGUUGUCAUGCCAAUGGCAGUGCUGGGUAGCUAUGAUCGGACAGGAUAACCGCUGAAGGCAUCUAAGCGGGAAGCCCCCCUCAAAACAAGGUAUCCCUGAGGACCGUGGAAGACCACCACGUCGAUAGGCCGGAGAUGUAAGCACAGCAAUGUGUUCAGUUGACCGGUACUAAUGGUCCGAUAGGCUUGAUUUG
RNAcentral lists this ribosomal RNA (2859 nucleotides) under Mameliella sp. CS4. RNAcentral's name for it is "23S ribosomal RNA". It matches the Rfam family "Bacterial large subunit ribosomal RNA". The record is from RNAcentral. Lineage: Bacteria; Pseudomonadati; Pseudomonadota; Alphaproteobacteria; Rhodobacterales; Roseobacteraceae.